Molecule: transfer RNA, 73 nt
Filed under: Rubricoccus marinus
Lineage: Bacteria; Pseudomonadati; Rhodothermota; Rhodothermia; Rhodothermales; Rubricoccaceae
Rfam family: tRNA
About the family: Transfer RNA (tRNA) molecules are approximately 80 nucleotides in length. Their secondary structure includes four short double-helical elements and three loops (D, anti-codon, and T loops). Further hydrogen bonds mediate the characteristic L-shaped molecular structure. tRNAs have two regions of fundamental functional importance: the anti-codon, which is responsible for specific mRNA codon recognition, and the 3' end, to which the tRNAs corresponding amino acid is attached (by aminoacyl-tRNA synthetases). tRNAs cope with the degeneracy of the genetic code in two manners: having more than one tRNA (with a specific anti-codon) for a particular amino acid; and 'wobble' base-pairing, i.e. permitting non-standard base-pairing at the 3rd anti-codon position.
Source: Rfam by way of RNAcentral
GGGGCAUUAGCUCAGUUGGUAGAGCGCAUCCUUCGCAUGGAUGAGGUCAGCGGUUCGACUCCGCUAUGCUCCA